CUGCACGAUGCACCCCGGGCUUCUCUGAGAUAACCUAUGACGCGAAAGCCCCAUUGCACGUGCUAGAUCGCCGCCGUUCGUGUUGCAGUUCAGCCCCUUUUUCCUUCACGGCUGAUCUGUGUCAAAGCAACGGCAAAAUCC
Small nucleolar RNA from Gastrolobium bilobum, 141 nucleotides. RefSeq annotates it as small nucleolar RNA snoR134. NCBI's taxonomy places the organism in Eukaryota, Viridiplantae, Streptophyta, Magnoliopsida, Fabales, Fabaceae. The transcript has a single exon. The record is from RefSeq and is a predicted model, not a curated record.